RNAcentral lists this ribosomal RNA (801 nucleotides) under uncultured bacterium. RNAcentral's name for it is "bacterial SSU rRNA". It matches the Rfam family "Bacterial small subunit ribosomal RNA", at positions 67 to 866 of the family's 1533-position model. The record is from RNAcentral.
CGAGAAGCACCCUUCGGGGUGUGAGUAAAGCGGCGAACGGGUGAGUAACACGUGGGUAAUCUGCCUAGGAGCGGGGGAUAACCUGGGGAAACUCGGGCUAAUACCGCAUACGUCUUCGGGGUUGCGGCCUCGAAGGGAAAGCUGGCCUCUACACGUAAGCUGGCACUCCUAGAGGAGCCCGCGGUCGAUUAGCUCGAUGGUGGGGUAACGGCCUACCAUGGCGACGAUCGAUAGCCGGCCUGAGAGGGUGAUCGGCCACACUGGGACUGAGACACGGCCCAGACUCCUACGGGAGGCAGCAGUGGGGAAUAUCGGACAAUGGGGGAAACCCUGACCCAGCAACGCCGCGUGGAGGAAGAAGGUUUUCGGAUCGUAAACUCCUGUCCGGAGGGACGAAGCAAGUGACGGUACCUCUGGAGGAAGCCCCGGCUAACUCCGUGCCAGCAGCCGCGGUAAUACGGGGGGGGCAAGCGUUGUUCGGAAUUACUGGGCGUAAAGGGCGCGCAGGCGGUUUCGUCAGUCAUGGGUGAAAGCCCCGGGCUCAACCCGGGAAUGGCCUGUGAAACCACGGAACUGGAGUGCUGGAGAGGGAAGCGGAAUUCCCAGUGUAGCGGUGAAAUGCGUAGAUAUUGGGAGGAACAUCGGUGGCGAAGGCGGCUUCCUGGACAGACACUGACGCUGAGGCGCGAAAGCCAGGGGAGCGAACGGGAUUAGAUACCCCGGUAGUCCUGGCUGUAAACGAUGAAUACUUGGUGUAGGGGGUAGGAAAGUCCCUCUGUGCCGCAGAGAACUCGAUAAGUA